GACGUAGGAGGCGAGCGUUAUCCGGAUUCACUGGGCGUAAAGCGCAUGUAGGCGGAUGUCUAAGUCGUGUGUUAAAGCCCCUGGCUCAACUGGGGGAGGUCAUGCGAGACUGGAUGACUUGAGGGCAACAGAGGCACGUGGAACUCCCGGUGUAGCGGUGGAAUGCGUAGAGAUCGGGAAGAACACCCGUGGCGAAGGCGGCGUGCUGGGUUGCAACUGACGCUGAAGCGCGAAAGCUAGGGGAGCGAACGGG
This 253-nucleotide ribosomal RNA is filed under the name uncultured bacterium. RNAcentral describes it as "partial 16S ribosomal RNA". It matches the Rfam family "Bacterial small subunit ribosomal RNA", at positions 524 to 776 of the family's 1533-position model. The record is from RNAcentral.